CCCUUAGAUGUUCGGGGCCGCACGCGCGCUACACUGAAGGACUCAGCGUGUCUCUCCCCCUAUCCCGAAAGGGAUGGGCAACCCGUUGAACCUCCUUCGUGCUAGGGAUUGGGGUUUGCAAUUAUCCCCCAUGAACGAGGAAUUCCCAGUAAGCGCGAGUCAUCAGCUCGCGUUGAUUACGUCCCUGCCCUUUGUACACACCGCCCGUCGCUACUACCGAUUGAAUGGUUCAGUGAGAUAAUCGGACAGAAAACUUGGCAACUGGCAACAGUUGACGUGCAUUUUUGGAAGACGAUCAAACUUGGUCAUUUAGAGGAAGUAAAAGUCGUAACA
RNAcentral lists this ribosomal RNA (333 nucleotides) under uncultured eukaryote. RNAcentral's name for it is "partial 18S ribosomal RNA". It matches the Rfam family "Eukaryotic small subunit ribosomal RNA", at positions 1470 to 1796 of the family's 1831-position model. The record is from RNAcentral.